RNAcentral lists this ribosomal RNA (253 nucleotides) under uncultured bacterium. Its description in RNAcentral is "partial 16S ribosomal RNA". It matches the Rfam family "Bacterial small subunit ribosomal RNA", at positions 524 to 776 of the family's 1533-position model. The record is from RNAcentral.
UACGGAGGGUGCAAGCGUUGAUCGGAAUUAUUGGGCGUAAAGGGCAGGUAGGUGGUCUCAUUUGUCCGGGGUGAAAGCCUUGAGCUUAACUCAAGAAGUGCCCCGGAAACGGUGAGACUAGAGUGCUGGAGAGGGUCGUGGAAUUCCCGGUGUAGCGGUGAAAUGCGUAGAGAUCGGGAGGAACACCAGAGGCGAAGGCGGCGACCUGGACAGUGACUGACACUCAACUGCGAAAGCGUGGGGAGCAAACAGG